GAAGUGGGUGGCAAUCUGAACCCGGGCUCCUUCUGGCCUCUGGGUUUGAUUCAGACGCCAGACCACCCAGGCCGGUGGCACUUGCCAAGACGUGGCUGAGCGCUGUCUGGGAGCUGCCUCCGAUGCGGAGCGCCAGGGCCGGCUGCAGGACCGUCAGCCUGGGGUCCUCGAGGCCGGCCUCACGGGCCUCUGCACCCGGCAGGGCCCACAACGUGAGGGUGCCCAGGUGAUUCUGUAGCUCGGAGAGUCUCUGCCUCCCUUCCGGGGAGGGAGGAAGGUGUGUGCAAGACCUGGGCAGCGGGCCCAGGCAUGGGCAGCAUCGGCCAAGCAGGCGCGGGGGGCAGGGCUGCCUCCCUGGUGAACCUGCCUCCCGUGUGUGCCUUGGCCCCCAGCCACGCGUGCACAGUAUUGAAAGGCGGGAACGUGCCCCAGCUCCGGUGUUUGGGUGCGGCCUUUGGGCCGUGAGGAGGUGAAGUCACUGGGGUGGAGCCCCACGCCUGAAUCCUCUCGGUGGCUCUACAAGGAGGAGAGAGACCGACGCUCCCUGCCUCUCACUGCGUGAUCCCCGCGUCACCUCGGGACCCUGCCAGCAAGGCCAUCACCAGACACAGCCUCCCAAAGCUCGCACCCACGCUGUGCCGCCCCCCGCCCCAGCCUGGGAAGCCGCUCUGCCCACACCUGCUUGUCCUGCUGCUGCGUGCUCAGCCUCAGUACCCCCUCCUCCAGGAAGCCUUCCAACCCAGGGACGAUGCCCCAGCGUUGGAUAUCUGGCCUGGCCCCUUCCACGGACGACUCCCAUCAGACGGGCUCUGGGGCAGAGUCCGAGUGGGAGAAGGAGUGGGAUGCCAGCCUGGAAGCCGCAUCAGCUUAGCAGUUGAUAAAGAUCAAGAAACGCUUCGCUGUUCAUCCCCACAUCCCUUGCAACCAAAGGAGUUCUGGUUAACACACUCAGUGACGGCCAAAGUUCAAGAACAAAGUGACAUGUGAUAUGGAAAUCCAGGGGCUGGGGGCCGGCGUUGUGGCUCAGCAGGUUAAGCCACUGCCUAGGAUGCCAGCAUGCCGGAGAGUCUCCACUACUCCACUUCUGGUCCAGCUCCCUGCUAGUGCACCUGAGAAAGCAGCAGAAGAGGGCCCAGCCCUUCGCAGGGAGCUGGACAGGAAGUGGAGCGGCUGGGAUGAGUGCUGGCACGGCAAGUGGUAGCUUACCCUCCCGUGCCACGAUGUGGGUCACCCAUUCCACGUUUUCCCACGGUGCUUCUACACACAGAUGCUCGAAGGGGAGAGCUGCACCUUUUCCAAACUCCCUCCCCUCCUGUGUGCAAGUGAGAAGGGAAACCUCAGCUGUUUGCUGCCAUCAUUAAAUUCAUGGAGAAAACAGAGAGGAAGAUGGAGCAGCAAACCCAACCGCCCUCAGGACUGGCAGACGCUGCUCCAGCCCCCGGGCUUGGUGGCAGCUGGCAGGGGACAGCUCCUCCUGGAGGCUCAGCGGGAAUGAGUCCUGCAGGAGGCAUUCAGAGUGGGUGAGCAGACCCCAAUCCCGGUUGGAGCCCUGGUCUGGGGGGCCUGAGAGGCAGCAGACGCCUGGCCAUUGCUCACUCCUGCCAAGGGCGUCUCUCCCUGGGGGCUGUGACCUUGGGCCAGGCAGGGCCCUCGGAGGCCUUGGAGUCUCAGCUGCACACUGAGGUCCCCAUCCCCACGCUGUGUGUCCUGGCCGUGGCACGUGGUGUGGGUGUGUUCAGUGGGAGCCACCUUCGAGAAAGCGCUUCUCCUAGAACUGUGGGGGCGGCGGGGAGGCCGGGAGGCCAGCAGAGACCUACUCCUGCAGACCCCCUUUGGGUUUAAAUGGCGAGAGCAGACGGGCUUCCCUGAAGAAGAGAGGCAAGGGAUGCACCCCAAAGAGUGGAGGAGAGGGGGCAUGGGCUCCAUGAGCCUGGGCUCUCUGAUCCCUGUGGGAGUCCCAGGCCUGGGACACGACCGACCCCGAGUC
This 1987-nucleotide long non-coding RNA is filed under the name Oryctolagus cuniculus (rabbit). Its description in RNAcentral is "lncRNA (ENSOCUG00000032409.1)". Lineage: Eukaryota; Metazoa; Chordata; Mammalia; Lagomorpha; Leporidae. The record is from RNAcentral.